GCAUGAAGCCCCCCUCAAGAUGAGAUUUCCCAACUUCGGUUAUAAGAUCCCUCAAAGAUGAUGAGGUUAAUAGGUUCGAGGUGGAAGCGUGGUGACACGUGGAGCUGACGAAUACUAAUCGAUCGAAGACUUAAUCAAAA
Molecule: ribosomal RNA, 140 nt
Filed under: Oenococcus oeni
Lineage: Bacteria; Bacillati; Bacillota; Bacilli; Lactobacillales; Lactobacillaceae
Description: partial 23S ribosomal RNA
Rfam family: Bacterial large subunit ribosomal RNA
Source: RNAcentral